GCCGGGGUGGCCGAGGGGUCAGGCGGCGGGCUGCAGACCCGUUAUACCGGGGUUCAAAUCCCCGCCCCGGCU
RNAcentral lists this transfer RNA (72 nucleotides) under Thermoprotei archaeon. Its description in RNAcentral is "tRNA-Cys". It matches the Rfam family "tRNA". Rfam says of the family: Transfer RNA (tRNA) molecules are approximately 80 nucleotides in length. Their secondary structure includes four short double-helical elements and three loops (D, anti-codon, and T loops). Further hydrogen bonds mediate the characteristic L-shaped molecular structure. tRNAs have two regions of fundamental functional importance: the anti-codon, which is responsible for specific mRNA codon recognition, and the 3' end, to which the tRNAs corresponding amino acid is attached (by aminoacyl-tRNA synthetases). tRNAs cope with the degeneracy of the genetic code in two manners: having more than one tRNA (with a specific anti-codon) for a particular amino acid; and 'wobble' base-pairing, i.e. permitting non-standard base-pairing at the 3rd anti-codon position. RNAcentral also lists the same sequence under 1 other name. The record is from RNAcentral. Lineage: Archaea; Thermoproteati; Thermoproteota; Thermoprotei.